RNAcentral lists this ribosomal RNA (421 nucleotides) under uncultured Algoriphagus sp. RNAcentral describes it as "bacterial SSU rRNA". It matches the Rfam family "Bacterial small subunit ribosomal RNA", at positions 355 to 774 of the family's 1533-position model. Lineage: Bacteria; Pseudomonadati; Bacteroidota; Cytophagia; Cytophagales; Cyclobacteriaceae. The record is from RNAcentral.
UAGGGAAUAUUGGGCAAUGGACGAGAGUCUGACCCAGCCAUGCCGCGUGCAGGAAGACGGCGUUCUGCGUUGUAAACUGCUUUUAUCUGGGAAGAAAAAGCCCCUGCGGGGGAAAUUGCCGGUACCAGAUGAAUAAGCACCGGCUAACUCCGUGCCAGCAGCCGCGGUAAUACGGAGGGUGCAAGCGUUGUCCGGAUUUAUUGGGUUUAAAGGGUGCGUAGGCGGCUAUUUAAGUCAGUGGUGAAAGACUCCGGCUCAACCGGAGCAGUGCCAUUGAUACUGGGUAGCUUGAGUAUUGGAGGGGUACAUGGAAUUGAUGGUGUAGCGGUGAAAUGCAUAGAUACCAUCAGGAACACCGAUAGCGAAGGCAUUGUACUGGCCAAUAACUGACGCUGAUGCACGAAAGCAUGGGUAGCGAACA